GUCGAGAAUCUUUCACAAUGGGGGCAACCCUGAUGGAGCGACGCCGCGUGGAGGAUAAGGUCUUCGGAUUGUAAACUCCUGUCAUGCGUGAACAAGGUUGCUUGGUUAAUACCUGGGCAAAUUGAUGGUAACGCAAGAGGAAGAGACGGCUAACUCUGUGCCAGCAGCCGCGGUAAUACAGAGGUCUCAAGCGUUGUUCGGAAUCACUGGGCGUAAAGGGUGCGUAGGUGGCGUGGUAAGUCAGAUGUGAAAGCCCGGGGCUCAACCUCGGAACUGCAUCCGAUACUGCCAUGCUAGAGUACUGGAGAGGUGACUAGAAUUCUCGGUGUAGCAGUGAAAUGCGUAGAUAUCGAGAGGAAUACCAAAGGCGUAGACAGGUCACUGGACAGUUACUGACACUGAGGCACGAAGGCCAGGGGAGCGAACGGGAUUAGAUACCCUAGUAGUCC
This 449-nucleotide ribosomal RNA is filed under the name uncultured bacterium. Its description in RNAcentral is "partial 16S ribosomal RNA". It matches the Rfam family "Bacterial small subunit ribosomal RNA", at positions 354 to 796 of the family's 1533-position model. The record is from RNAcentral.